This 269-nucleotide ribosomal RNA is filed under the name uncultured prokaryote. RNAcentral describes it as "partial 16S ribosomal RNA". It matches the Rfam family "Bacterial small subunit ribosomal RNA", at positions 524 to 792 of the family's 1533-position model. The record is from RNAcentral.
UACGGAGGAUGCAAGCGUUAUCCGGAUUUAUUGGGUUUAAAGGGUGCGCAGGUGGUUAAAUAAGUCAGUGGUGAAAGUCUGCCGCUUAACGGUAGGAUUGCCAUUGAUACUGUUUAACUUGAGUUUGGAUGAGGUAGGCGGAAUGAGUAGUGUAGCGGUGAAAUGCAUAGAUAUUACUCAGAACACCGAUUGCGAAGGCAGCUUACUAAUCCACAACUGACACUGAGGCACGAAAGCGUGGGGAUCAAACAGGAUUAGAUACCCCGGUA